Molecule: long non-coding RNA, 2046 nt
Filed under: Anas platyrhynchos (mallard)
Lineage: Eukaryota; Metazoa; Chordata; Aves; Anseriformes; Anatidae
Description: lncRNA (ENSAPLG00020006653.1)
Source: RNAcentral
AUACAUACAUAUAUAUAUAUAUAUAUAUUUAUAUUUUUAUUUUUUUUUUUUAAAGGAGGGGAAACUGGGAGCGAGCCGCAGGUGUGGAUGGCUGCCUGGCUGGCGUGAAAAGCGGGGCCCGGAGCCACCAUGGAGCACAUCCGGAUGCCCAAGGUGGAAAAUGUUCGGUUACUUGAUCGUGUAUCCUCAAGAAAAGCUGCACUGGGAACCUUGUAUUUAACAGCUACCCAUGUCAUAUUUGUGGAGAAUUCUUCUGACACUCGUAAAGAAACCUGGGUUCUCCACAGCCAAAUUUCCUCCAUUGAGAAGCAGGCCACAACUGCCACAGGUUGCCCACUGCUGAUCCGCUGCAAGAACUUCCAAGUCAUCCAGCUAAUCAUCCCUCAGGAACGAGACUGCCAUGAUGUUUACAUCUCUCUAAUACGUCUGGCACGGCCAGUGAAAUACGAAGAGCUGUAUUGUUUCUCAUUCAAUCCAAAAUUAGAUAAAGAAGAACGAGAACAAGGCUGGAAGCUUGUGGACCUCAAUGAAGAAUAUAACCGGAUGGACUAUGGCGUGAGUUUGUACGUACCAAAAUCUGCAACUGCACACAUCAUAGUGGGGAGCUCUAAGUUCCGGAGCCGAAGGCGUUUCCCAGCUCUUUCCUACUACUGCAAGGAUAACAAUGCCUCCAUAUGUAGGAGCAGCCAGCCUUUAUCUGGCUUUAGUGCUCGAUGUCUUGAGGAUGAACAGAUGCUCCAGGCCAUCCGAAAAGCAAACCCAGGAAGUGAUUUCCUAUAUGUUGUUGACACUCGACCCAAACUCAAUGCAAUGGCAAAUCGAGCAGCAGGGAAGGGAUAUGAGAACGAAGACAACUACUCCAACAUCAAGUUUCAAUUCAUAGGCAUUGAGAACAUCCACGUCAUGAGAAAUAGUCUGCAGAAAAUGCUUGAAGUUUGUGAACUGAAAUCACCUUCAAUGAGUGACUUUCUGUGGGGCCUUGAAAAUUCGGGCUGGCUGAAGCAUAUCAAAGCCAUUAUGGAUGCUGGCAUUUUUAUUGCAAAGGCUGUGGCUGAGGAAGGUGUGAGUGUGCUUGUUCACUGCUCUGAUGGCUGGGAUAGAACAGCCCAGGUUUGCUCUGUAGCAAGCCUUCUGUUGGACCCAUAUUACAGAACUAUGAAGGGAUUCAUGGUUUUAAUUGAAAAAGAUUGGAUUUCCUUUGGUCACAAAUUUAACCACAGGUACGGCAAUUUAGAUGGAGAUCCAAAAGAGAUAUCCCCUGUUAUUGACCAGUUCAUCGAAUGUGUCUGGCAGCUAAUGGAACAAUUUCCUUGUGCCUUUGAAUUCAAUGAGAGAUUCCUGAUCCACAUACAGCACCAUAUCUAUUCUUGCCAGUUCGGUAAUUUCCUGUGUAACAGCCAGAAGGAGAGACGAGAGCUGAAAAUCCAAGAACGAACAUAUUCACUGUGGGCUCACUUGUGGAAAAAUCGUGCAGAUUACUUGAAUCCUCUGUACCGAUCAAACCACAGCCAAACUCAAAGGACCCUGUACCCACAGAUGGCUCCAUGCAACUUCUUGUACAAGUUCUGGAGUGGUAUGUACAAUCGCUUUGAAAAGGGGCUGCAUCCUCGACAGUCAGUUACUGAUUAUCUGAUGGCAGUGAAGGAAGAGACUCAGCAGCUGGAAGAAGAGCUGGAAGUCUUAGGAGAGAGGCUGGCCAAUCUUCAGAAAAUGCAACUAAAUGGUAAUAAAAUCCAGAGUAAGCAGCAAGACCGAAGCAAACAAUUAGGGCUUUCUGCUUCCACCAACAGCUUAGCCAAUACUCCCCAGGAGUAUGGCAACGAUCUGAAAUCAUUCCCGUCCCGGAGCCCUUCACAAGGGGAUGAAGAUUCAGCCUUGAUUUUGACACAGGACAACCUGAAAAGCUCUGAUCCUGACCUCUCAGCCAACAGUGAUCAGGAGUCUGGUGUGGAGGACUUAAGCUGCAGGUCCCCCAGUGUGGGUGGCUGCUUGCCUAGCGAGGACAGUGGUAAGGAUUCAGAUGAAGCUGUAUGUCUGGCAGUCUGA